Long non-coding RNA from Varanus komodoensis (Komodo dragon), 5141 nucleotides. RefSeq lists it as uncharacterized. NCBI's taxonomy places the organism in Eukaryota, Metazoa, Chordata, Lepidosauria, Squamata, Varanidae. The record is from RefSeq and is a predicted model, not a curated record. The transcript has 2 exons.
CUGACUCUCCUCGGCGCCGCGGCGGAGCCGAGCUCUGCCCUACCCCGUCCCAAAACACGGCAGGUGCUGCUGCUCCCGCUGAAGCGGAGCAGGGCUUGGCCUGCCUCCUCCUCCGCCUCGGAUCAGCGGGCCAGUGAAACGGAGAACGGAGCGUGAGAAAGGGCAUCGCGCGAUGGGUAGACAAGAUGGAAAAGCGCACGCUCUGUCUUUGUAUUGUUAAUAUCCGCUACUAGUCUGAAGUGCCAUUCAUUUCAGUGGGUCGACUCUAAGCAGAACGCAAGUUGGAUGCAGCCCUCUCUAGGGUGUGCAUCAGAACUAUCUUUGUUUAUAUUGUAAAGCGGAGGUUGGCUGAAGAUAGUUUAGGAUUUCCCGGUAGUUCUUUGGAUGGUUCUGCAAUAGAUCGGCAAGGAUUUCUGACUCCCAAAUGCCUUACAAUAGCAACGAAGCCGCUUACCCUAUCUCCAUUAGAAUGCAGAAAUUAAUAACUCCAUUAGAGUGCAGAAAUUAAUAACUAUAAGUAGUAAUAAAACUGGAGGUUCUGCGGGAGAGCUUUUUGUGUGGCAGGACCGCUCUCGGAAUGAAUUCCUGGGCUCAGCAACACUGUGUUUGGAUCAUGUUGAUGACCUCCAUUUGCACCAGGCCACCCUUGGUAGAUCUCAGGAUAAAAACACAACUAGAUGCCAGAAACUGUCCUUCCCCCUUAGAAAACCAGGGGCGUGAGUGACACUAUAGGCAUAGGGUCAAAAUCGUAAACACAGUACUGAAGCCUUCCCACAAGCUGUUGCCCACCAUCUCCCAUCAGCCCCAGCCAGCAUAGCCACUGGCCAGGAAUGCUCCUAGUUUUAGUCCAAACAACCUGAGGGCAAUAGGCUUUUACCUCAAGGUGCUAAUGCAGUUUCGUGCGUGUGUAUCCAGACAUAAAUCCUGUUGACUUGGGUACGCCGAGUUUGUGAAAACGCCUUGGGCAGCUGCCUAAGGGUGCAAUCCCAUGUAUGCUUAGACAGAAAGUCCUUCAACUUUGGGCAUAUUGUAGGAUUUUUUUCUGGCUAAAUAUGUGUGGGAUUGUACCUUUAAAGUGAUGGUGCUCUAAAAAAGCAAAUAAUUAGGGGUCCCCCACCAUCCCAAUAAGCUUGUGGGAAAUGGUCACUUUAUUUUGCAGUGUGCAUUGCACGGAUGACUUGUCCAAUGUACAUGACUCAAGAAAGGGCUUGCGUUUAAUGUGCCCCCAUUCUGGUUUAUGGGCAGGACAUGCAGGCAGCAAUGGAAGGGUUGGUCAGCAAGUCUAGAGUCUCCUGUGCAAGGUGCUAAGGCAGAACUUCCAAACAGGUAAAGAAAAUAUCUUUAAAUACUUUGAUGUAGGUUCAGAGUACAUUUUCCCUCUGCACCAACUAACUAAAGAACUUCCAUGACCCAGGAAUUAGAUGAAAAGUCCCAAGAUAGCAAGUUAUGAUUGCCAGUCAGACAAGCCUCUGUCUGGUAUGUCUUUCUGGGUAAAUAUACUGCAAGGCUCUGAUGUUACUUUGCUGUAAAUAGCUAGUAAGAGCUGCCCGAAAAAUACAGCUUUGCUGCAGCACUUUCGAUAAGAGCAUAACAAACUCCACCAUCUGUGAUGACAAGAAGUUAUCAGAAGCAUGCACAUUACAGGAGGAAAACGCAGAUGUAUAAAACUAAUUUUCAGCAAGCGUCCUACAGCAAUAGAGGUUACAGUAGAGUUAUAUACCCAACAGUGGAAAAGUUGCACAGACAUCUGUCUUCUUGUCUCAGCUUGAGGAGCAGAUCUGCACUAAAAACACAGGAAGGCUUCAUCUUGCUAGUUUAAGUACUACUGGAAUCUCUGGGGAGUGAAAGAGUCUCAGACAGACUGGAACCUGUGGUUCUCCAAAUGUUGGACUUGAGCUUCCAUCAUGCCCAGGCAACAAAACCAAUGCAACAUUGAGUAAAACCGAAACGGUUCCUAAGAAUAAACAAUGCAACUCCCUCCAAAGAAUUUGUCAGGGAGAGAAUCUCAUACGAGUCUGGAGUAAAGAACUCUUGCAAAAUGUUCUGCUUUGGGUGGUCUGGUGGAAGGCAUGGAAGCAACAUGGCCGAAACCCCAAACUGUUCAUAGGUCUGGCUGUGGACAGGUGGCACCAUUCCACACAGAUGCUCAUAAACUGCCUAUUGUUAUUCAAGUCAUCUUAACAGGUGAGUGAACUGUUGGACUGUAGUAUUCCAGGUAGGAAACGCUGAAGAAAUAGCUUGACCUGCUUUGACCCCCUGGUGGUUCUAGGGGGAGCAGAGUUCUCCUGGUUGUCAGCCAUGGCAAUGGUAUCCUUCCACAUCACAUCACUGGAAUGGCGCUAAGACAGUAGGGAAGAUCUAUUCCAACAGGUGGCUCUCUCCUGUGGCUUCUGGUUUGUUGGAUGUCAGAAGAGUCUGGCUUGUCUGUCUUGCUAUUCUGCCCUCUACAUGAAACUAGGGGGUAAAGCCAUCUGGAGAUUUGGACGGGAUUGUCCUUGGUCUGCUGCCAGCCCUUGGCUUCAACUCCCAUUUACAUCUUCUGAACAAAGGGCAGCACUGAACGUCCUGUUUGACAUCAGCUUCGGGUUGGAUGAGUUAAAACAAGCUGUAAUCAUCUAAACACAACAGAGAGGCUGCUGUUGAUGAUGCAGGAGGAGACACACACUCCGCUUCAGAUACAAAUUCCCCCUUAAAAUCAGGCUGCCCACGUGGCAGCAGUGGCCAAGAGCAUCAGUUGCCACAUGUGGCUGGUGUUCCAACUAUCAGCUUACAGACAUCAGACUUCAUUUUCUUCAUUAAUACCCUAGUCCUACUCAGGUUAGGUUACUGUAAUGUGGAUAGUUUGCAGGCUGUUUUGAAAACUGGUGUUGGUCCAAAAUGCACCUGGCGUGGUAGUAUUCCAGACUUUCAAAUCAGAGCAUGGAUUAGGCUGAUGCUAGGCCAUCUUCAUUCUUAAUCUGAUUCCUUUCUGGUUCCAUUUGAAGUCCUGAUUUUGACUGUUAAACCAGCGAAGACAAUAACCCCUUUCACCCACAGGAAUCUGCUAAUACCAUGCUGUGUUCUGCUGUCAGCAGAAGUAUAGCAGACAGCUAGAGAGCCAAGGCCAUUUUUGGUGCUGUGCAAGACUGCAUCACUAUCACGAGAGAGCCUGGUUCUCGCUCUGCUCACCUUUUGACAGGCAGCAAAGUGUAUAUUUUGCUGUAUGCUUUUUUGAAUGCUUCUUAUGCAUAGAUUUUUUUUUAAAAAAAACUAUCAAAUACUACUUUUUAUAUAGUAUUUUAUACAGUUGCACUGAACUGGUAUUACAUCACAUUUAUAGCCCCCUAUUUCCCUCACAGCAUGUUUUACUUGUACAACAAUCUUGUGAGGUAGGCGAAGCUAAGAACCCAUGACUGGUCCAAAGUCAGCCAGUAAACUUCAUGGCCAAUUGGGGACUAGAAUCCGCAUCGCCCAGAUCCCCAGUCCAACACACCACGAUGCCACACUGGCUGUGGGUAGAAACUGGACUCUAAUUUUUAUAUAGGUACUUCUGCUCUUUUGACUGGAAAGGCAGGACACAAAUGUCUAAAUGUCUGCAGGCUAAAUGUCCUACUGUGCAUGGAAGUGCUUGAUAUGUUGGACUACAACUCCCAUCAGCCCCAGCCAUCAUGGCCAAUGAGCAGAGGGGUGAUGGAUGCUCCAGUCCAAAGUAUCUAAAGAGCAACAUGUUGCUCAUCUCUGAAGUAGCUGGACCAAAACUUCUCAGGCUCCCAGUCCCGUUACACAGAUCAUUUUGCUUCGAAAUGCUAGGGCCUACGUACACAACAUGCUGACAAACUGCAGGUUCCUCCCCACUGUACUUCAUAUUGCUAGCCAGAAUAUUCUGAAAAUCCAAGCUGCAGCAUUACAAGGAUGAGAAAAAGACCUGGGAAUCCCAAACACAAAAGCACCCCCUCUUCCACCACAUCAUCUUUGAAAUCCUUCACCAUUAUAUCUGAAUGACUUGCUGCAUUAGGGAUGCAUUGUUGUCUAAACAUUAGGCUUUUUCCACAUUGAGUGUUCGCCUUCUAGAAAUUUGGCAUAGCAAGAGUGUGCAUUUUCAAAGAAAAUCGGAGAUGAAUUAGGGAAGCUAUUUGCUUUUGUUCUCGUAUUAAAAUAAUAAAAGGUCCUUCAUAACUGCUGAAGGCGGCACUUCCCCAGACAAUGUUCCAGUUAAGUGGAUUUGCUGGAAGUGCUUAUACUUGCCUUCCCAACACUGUGCUACUGUCAGCAUAUUUUCAGAAAUGAUCAUUUUGUGUAUCAGAGGAAAGAAUAAGGCCUGCAAAAAAAAAAAAAAAAAACCCUCUAGGAUUCCAAGUGUCACCUGAGAGGAACUUAAAUAAAAAUCAGAGCCAACAAUUUUAAAACACUACACUGCUGAGUGUCAACUUGCAAACCAGGAAAAAUGCAAGGUGCAAAUUUUGUUUCUGCAAGGAAUCCAAGAGGUGAAUCCUCAGCCCUUCCUCAUGCACCCGAUGAGGACAAAUUUACACUUAUAAGGACUUCUACAGAGGUACUGGGUGGCUAUAAAUACUCUAUAAAGCAUGGUAUAAAUUCAAAUUUAGACCCUAUUAAGGCUGGCAGUUGGGCCUAUGAGGCCAUUACAGAAAUGGAAGGGCAUCCUCAACAUCCUGCUUUGCAUCUACUUUACGCAAAAUAUUGGAAAGUCAGGAAAACACAAAGCACACAUUCCCAAGAAUGUCCUGAUGAAGAUGUAGAGAAAUUGUGUACAUGGGUUAUGUGUGUGUGCAUGGGGGGGGUGAAUAUGAAAACAUGUUUUUACUCUGUUGUGAAGAAAUAUUCCCAAAAUUUUACUACUGCAACUCCAGAACACUGGAAUUAUUUCAAUAUGUCUAGAAAAGCUUAAUUCUAAAUUAAUCCUGCUGUUUUCAAAAUGUUAUUGAGCACUCUUUCAUUCUUCUGUCAUAAGGUGGGCUGAGAGGAAAACUAUUUGCUCAGAAGCAAACUUGACUAGUUUCAAGGCUGCUUUCUACCAGCACAAUUACUGCUGAAGUGUCAACCUCCAAUGCCACUAACACCUUCACUGCAUCCAAAAAUAAGCCACCUGCUAUUAGAAUGAACCCAUCUAAUUGCUCUUACAAAUAAAAAUGCUUUUUCCACCA